Molecule: ribosomal RNA, 504 nt
Filed under: uncultured bacterium
Lineage: Bacteria
Description: partial 16S ribosomal RNA
Rfam family: Bacterial small subunit ribosomal RNA
Source: RNAcentral
AUUGAACGCUGGCGGCAGGCCUAACACAUGCAAGUCGAGCGGUAGCACAGAGAGCUUGCUCUCGGGUGACGAGUGGCGGACGGGUGAGUAAUGUCUGGGAAACUGCCCGAUGGAGGGGGAUAACUACUGGAAACGGUAGCUAAUACCGCAUAACGUCGCAAGACCAAAGUGGGGGACCUUCGGGCCUCACACCAUCGGAUGUGCCCAGAUGGGAUUAGCUAGUAGGCGGGGUAAUGGCUCACCUAGGCGACGAUCCCUAGCUGGUCUGAGAGGAUGACCAGCCACACUGGAACUGGGACACGGUCCAGACUCCUACGGGAGGCAGCAGUGGGGAAUAUUGCACAAUGGGCGCAAGCCUGAUGCAGCCAUGCCGCGCGUAUGAAGAAGGCCUUCGGGUUGUAAAGUACUUUCAGCGGGGAGGAAGGCGGUGAAAUUAAUAACUUCACCGAUUGACGUUACCCGCAGAAGAAGCACCGGCUAACUCCGUGCCAGCCGCCGCCGUAA